Molecule: long non-coding RNA, 2470 nt
Organism: Rhipicephalus microplus (southern cattle tick)
Lineage: Eukaryota; Metazoa; Arthropoda; Arachnida; Ixodida; Ixodidae
Source: RefSeq, a predicted model, not a curated record
AGGCACGCAUGUGGUGGUAGACGGGCCCGCCACUUUCAUUUUGUUGACUCGUCUGAGAACUUUCAUGCGCCGUUAUUGAAGCGCCAAUGUGGCUUUGACAUUGCGGAGAUUCGCCGAGUUCGCCGAACCACGGCAGCUGCCGUGGCUGAAGACACUCGCGUCAGUGACGAGAGGAUUCGUGGUAUCAAUGGUACGCGGAACGUCAAAUGCACAGAGUGGACGGCACGAAGGAAUGUGUGUAAUUACCGUCAAGCAGAAGCAGCUAACAUUCGCAGGUGCAGCCAAAGUAUUUGCGCAGCUUCAAUUGCCCUCUGAACAGUUUGGCCGCUUCAAACACUGCAUGGACGUUUCCACAAGCCUUCUGCUCUCUCCCCGAUCAGUUUCAAUGAAAGCUCCAGUCAAGGCUACAGCUAUAGCCGUGUCCAGAAAUCCUACAGCUUGCAUGGCAUAUCCUGCCUUGCAAGCACGCUGCAAGACAUAAGUCGCUACCAAGACAGACAUUUCUAUCAAAGUGUACCCUACAAGCAGCAGCCCCAGCAACAGCCAUGUGCACUCGUGGUCUCCAACUUCAGUCUUGGCAGCAUGUUCAGUCUUGGCAGUCUGGAUUGUGGUUUGUAAUAGAGAGCUUAACAAUGGGAAAUUGAAGGGGAGCAUGCAAUAUUUUCUCUUUGAACUGCAUUGAAAAAUCUAUUAUGCAUCACCAGCACUGCAUAUGAACAGCUUUAAAUCAUAGAAUCUUUGCCACGAUUCAGGUAAGGCUAGUCAGCUUGAGAACAUGGGCAUGUUUGUUGUGGAUGAAGUCGUGUGGAACUUAGCUGACCCAUCAGACUUUCUGUAUUCUAUAUUUAUUUAUUUGUCUUCUUCCAGUGCUUAUCAGUUAUGUUUGUCAGUCAUCAGCCUUACAUUUGCUUCAUUUUGCUAUGUGCUAUACACAAUAUUAAUGAUAACUAACACAGAGUGAUGCCGAGCUAAGUACAGGGGUGGUUUGUGUAGUAAUUGUAAUGUAAAGGAAGAGAGGUGGAUGAAAAGAUUACUUUCUGCCGGCAGAGACCUUUGAAUAACACUUCAAAUGCUCUACAGCUCCACUGUAGAGCAUUUGAAGCAUUUGAAUAGCCAUAUUGGCAUUUUGGAGCAUUUGAAUAUACCAUAUUAAGAGGAUGGGUCGUCCGCCCAUCCUCUUAAUAUGGUAUAUAUAUGCACAUUUAAACGUAAGAGUGUCAGCUUUUACUGUACCUUCUUUGUGAUUGCAGUGCAUAUAUUGGUUGUUUCCAGGACUGGAAUGUUAACUCCUAAUUGUUCCUUCAUUUUUGAUGGAACCACAGGUGACAGACCCACCGUCCCGAACACUCUUCUACCUCAAUAUUAAGUGGAAUAAGCUGCUUUAAAAUAAAUUUUUGUAACUUGAGCACACAAGAAUCCACACUCUAGUUGAUAAGCGCCGCAUAACGAAGCACAGCGUCACAAUGAGCUAGAAUACGUGCAUGCGCGCCGCAAUGAACAGUUCUGUGCAGCUUUCUUAUCGCGCCAUUCCAGAAGCCGGACACGGGAUGGCAGUAGGCUGUGCUUACUGACUUAGCAGUUUACACUCGUGCGUUUUGGUUUAAAAAAUGGGUAGCCACACAUACCGUCUUUCAUCAUGGUUGCUCUCAAUCUACAAUUUCAAAAGUGCCUUAGUGAAAGACAUGUUUUUUUGUUGGGACUCGCCAAUAAUGCACAAGGUAGAUAUGUCACUUAUUUAAAUAUGUGCUCCUUUUCCACAUGAAAUGUUUUUUUUUUUUUUUUUUAAGUGCAGAGCACUUGAGGGGCGUAGGCUGUCGUCUACUGCUGUCGCGGCUUGCUGUAACGCAGGCAAAAACCACAUGUAGCACAGCCAGCUGUUGCACAUUGAGUAUGUGAACACACCAAAGAUAAGUGUUUUGUCUCUUGUUCUGUUGAGUGCUUCUUCUACACUGUACUGCACCUUUUGCACUCACUCAUUUUGCACUCGUUGGCUAUUUUUCUGUAGCUUUGGGCUCAAUGGCUAAAAGCCUUUAUUUUUACAUAGAUACAGACAGUACCUAUUUUAGUAAGUACAAUUUCUGUAUGAAUCAUCUAGAGCAGUGUUAUGAAUAUCUUGAUUUUUACACCAUGCUUGGAGGAAGCAUCGCUUUAUUUCUAAGUCAGUUACUACAUUUAGGUAGUAUCUCAAGUGGCUUUUCUAGUUUUGGUUUCACAGCAUGUACCUACUGUACUGUCCUUUAAUUCAUCUUCGUGAGAUUAAGGGUUACAGGUUACCAGUAGAUAAUAUCAUAAUUACGGAAAUUCUGAGCACUCGCCUUUUUACGCGAUUGUACAGUACACUAGGAAGUUGCACCUGCAACAUAUUGUGCUUCUUCACGAAGACUUGGACCCACACCAUUACUUUAACUGAAAAGGCAUAUGCAAUUCUAAGGAGAGAUGCUAGUCAAAAAGCACUAUUAACGCGACAGUG